AAAGGUGUAUGCUCUGGAGCUCAAGACCAAACACUCAGAGGAUACCAUUGGCCAUCAUUUGGACUUCUCGAAAUGGUUCUCGUUUGUGAUCACGCCCCAUGGCGAGAUUCUCCACGUCUACCACCCUCCCGACGACGACGAUGAAGCUGUUGCCAUGAAGAAAGGAGCCGCCGCCAUGUUCGCGUCUCGUCUCCACCACGCCA
Long non-coding RNA from Haliotis rubra (blacklip abalone), 203 nucleotides. RefSeq lists it as uncharacterized. NCBI's taxonomy places the organism in Eukaryota, Metazoa, Mollusca, Gastropoda, Lepetellida, Haliotidae. The transcript has 3 exons. The record is from RefSeq and is a predicted model, not a curated record.